AUGCACACACCAACACCCACAAUCACAUCAACUCAAGCCUUCAUCUUUCUAGCCAUCUUCUCUCUUACAGUCCUACUCAACAUGGCUUCCAUGGGGUUCAGCUACGCACAGGUACACGUGAAGCAAGAGAGACUGAUGAGGAGGAUCAGCGACAGCAAGAGGGCUUCGGCGACGGCGACGGUAGACAAGUCGAUGACCCGAGAAGAAGAGAAGAUGAAGGAGCAUUUCAUGGGUGAAGAGGAGAAGAAGGCAACUUGCAACUCAUGGACCGCCGGGAGGGUGCAUCCGUGUGCGUCUUCCCUGGCAGCUGCGGCGCCAAGGGGUGGGCACCGAUGA
RNAcentral lists this ribosomal RNA (336 nucleotides) under Triticum aestivum (bread wheat). RNAcentral describes it as "partial small subunit ribosomal RNA". The record is from RNAcentral. Lineage: Eukaryota; Viridiplantae; Streptophyta; Magnoliopsida; Poales; Poaceae.